UACAGAGGGUGCGAGCGUUACUCGGAAUUACUGGGCGUAAAGCGUGCGUAGGUGGUGAGUUAAGUCUGUCGUGAAAGCCCCGGGCUCAACCUGGGAAUGGCGAUGGAUACUGGCUCGCUAGAGUGCGGUAGAGGAGAGUGGAAUUCCCGGUGUAGCAGUGAAAUGCGUAGAGAUCGGGAGGAACAUCAGUUGCGAAGGCGGCUCUCUGGACCAGCACUGACACUGAGGCACGAAAGCGUGGGGAGCAAACAGG
This 253-nucleotide ribosomal RNA is filed under the name uncultured bacterium. RNAcentral describes it as "partial 16S ribosomal RNA". It matches the Rfam family "Bacterial small subunit ribosomal RNA", at positions 524 to 776 of the family's 1533-position model. The record is from RNAcentral.